UCUGUAUUUUGGUUAGAGUGGAGAACUAAUAAUUCAGCUGUCUCUUAAAGCGGUGUUGAGCUGGUGCUAGAUUGCAGCUUUUGCUAGAUGGAAAUCAACUCUGAUUAACCAUAUUCCCAAUUUCCUUCACAGACUUUUUGACCUUGUCACUAUUUGAGCUGGAGAAGAUCAGUCUAUAGUAUUACCUUUGAAUCAAAAUCUGAAGGAUCCCUGGAAUUUGAGCAUUAUGAGAAUAUUUUUCAGGGUGUAGUUCUAAGAGAAAGAGGACAUCAUCCUUUCUCACUUGAUGCCCACAGUUUUUCUCUCCUGGCAGCAGCCAUAGCUCCAGGUGGAAAAGGCAACCUACUCAUUGAGGAAGUUCUAACCUCUGCAGUCCGGGCUCCCUGGAAGAGCCAUCAUUUCUUCAUUCGACCCACCCUUCACAGCCCCUGCAGACUCAGUGAACUACCUCAUUUAACAUCUGCCUCCCUGCUCAAUAGUUCCCUGUAACCAGUGCCCAUCAAGCAAAACCACUGCCCACUUCAAACAGAAAUGCCACUUCUUUGGUUCUACUUCUGGGGUUUCAAACUUGGAGCUAAGUUGAAAAUCUGUGUCUUUGACAGGCAUCCCGGGAGGGAGUCUAAUGAUCAGCUAAUUGUGAGAAUCAAAACUACUCAUUUGGCAUUUGGCAUAUCCAGUUUCAGCUGUUAUUGAGACUUCCUUAUCUGGGAUCACCCUUGCCUUAACUGAAUUACAUUUUUAAAAUAUAAAAACUAUGGAAAGUUUUUUUUUUAAGACUUUAUUUAUUUAUUCAUGAGAGACACACAGAGAGAGGGGCAGAGACAUAGGCAGAGGGAGAAGCAGGCUUCCUGUAGGGAGCUUGAUGCAGGACUGGAUCCCAUGAUCCCAGGAUCAUGACCUGAGCCAAAGGCGGAUGCUCAACCACUGAGCCACCCAGGUGCCCCAUAUGGAAAGUUGUUUUAAUGCUCUUUUUCAUCUCUG
This 981-nucleotide long non-coding RNA is filed under the name Vulpes vulpes (red fox). RNAcentral's name for it is "lncRNA (ENSVVUG00000011749.1)". The record is from RNAcentral. Lineage: Eukaryota; Metazoa; Chordata; Mammalia; Carnivora; Canidae.